This 402-nucleotide ribosomal RNA is filed under the name uncultured bacterium. Its description in RNAcentral is "bacterial SSU rRNA". It matches the Rfam family "Bacterial small subunit ribosomal RNA", at positions 355 to 774 of the family's 1533-position model. The record is from RNAcentral.
UAGGGAAUCUUGGACAAUGGGCGAAAGCCUGAUCCAGCCAUGCCGCGUGAGUGAUGAAGGCCUUAGGGUUGUAAAGCUCUUUCGCCAGGGAAGAUAAUGACGGUACCUGGAUAAGAAGCCCCGGCUAACUUCGUGCCAGCAGCCGCGGUAAUACGAAGGGGGCUAGCGUUGUUCGGAAUUACUGGGCGUAAAGCGCACGUAGGCGGCUUUCCAAGUUGGAGGUGAAAUCCCCGGGCUUAACCCGGGAACUGCCUCCAAAACUGAAAUGCUAGAGUCCGAGAGAGGUGAGUGGAAUUUCCAGUGUAGAGGUGAAAUUCGUAGAUAUUGGAAAGAACACCAGUGGCGAAGGCGGCUCACUGGCUCGGUACUGACGCUGAGGUGCGACAGCGUGGGGAGCAAACA